RNAcentral lists this long non-coding RNA (1558 nucleotides) under Canis lupus familiaris (dog). RNAcentral's name for it is "lncRNA (ENSCAFG00030000430.1)". The record is from RNAcentral. Lineage: Eukaryota; Metazoa; Chordata; Mammalia; Carnivora; Canidae.
GGCUGCUUCCUUCCUGACAUAGGGUCCCUCUACCCGAAGUGCUCCACGGGGCAGUGAGUGACCUCCAUCCCUGCAGACAGAUACUCAGGAGGAGGCUGAAACCACUGACUACUGGACUCAAACAUUAGCUAGAGUAUGCAAAGCACUGAGAACCAUGCCUGGCACGUUGGAAGCGUAAUAUGAAUGUGUGCUUUUUUGACUCUUGAGCUCUUUAGAAGAGGCUAUAACCUGAUAGGAAGAACCUGUUACUUCACUCCCAUUCUCAAGAUGAGAAUACCGAGGACAUAUAGAGGGAACCAAGUGACUUGCUUGGAGGCCAUGCCCGCCUUACAGUAAGCAAUGUGCUCAGAGUCACACCACAGGACCGAGAGGGAUUGCUUAGAUCCUGGCAAAUGUGUGCCAAGAAUUUUAAAAGGAGCAUCACUGCCAAAUCCUCUUUACCAACCAGCUCCCAUGCCCUUCCACUUCUUCCCACGCCUGCUCUUCAUUCACACGCUGCAGAAUUCCCCAGCCGUGGUCUGGGCGGCUGCAGACCUCUGGAGCUCCUGACCUUGUGAAGCACUGGUUUCUUCCCCAGGCCCUACAGACGUGGGCUCCUGGGGCUAGUGAUGCUGCAACCUGAGCCCAUUUUAUUUAAUCCCGGGUUGAAAAUACAACAUAUAAAGUAGAGACCCUUCUUAGUCUCACUUUACUGACAGUAGCAGAGGCCUGACAUGGCUUUACCACUGGUCACAUGGGCAACAAGAGGGUGGCUGCACUGUGCGAUUUCAUUUGGAGAAUGGUGCUCGAUGGUCAACACCAAACGCACUCUUUGUGUGACCAAACCAUGGCCUGGUUUUAAGCAAAAACCCCAUUUCCAAACAUAAAAAUAGGGGGGAAAUUGAGGAGUCACUGGUCUGAUCUCGUAGAAAUAAUUCGCCGUCACGUUUCCUUAAAUAGCCGGCUCUCCUGGUUCAUGCAAAAAGAAAGGAUUUGAGCUACACAUAGUUCUUCCAGGUUGGCCAAAAACAGUCCUGGGGGUGGGAGGGACGAUUCAGCGGCCUCCCCUCCCCCGGUGUUCCUUUCACUACCAUAUGCUUUCGACUUCAUGGCAACUUCAGUUUAUGGCGGCUACUGUGGCCCCAUCACCAGCAUCUCUCCCCAGCACAGAGCUUCGUGGAUAUAACUCAGAUCCAACAGAUGGCUGAGUUGGUUGAAAAAGCCCCAACACGUUGGAACAUGUGUGGCUGUUUAUAAGGGUUCAUUUUCCACUGGGGGCAAAUGGGGCUUUUGUAAGAUCACCCCUGGGCUCUAAAGACAGGACCUUUACGUCCAUCUGCUUCCUGGGGGCGAGGGUGGAUAGCUCGUAGGGGAGGGGCUGUGAUGACCAAUGCCUGCUUCUCUCUCUCUAGGGCCCCAUAAACGUAUGUGUUCAACAUGCACUCCCUGACUUGACGAGCAAGAACAAAUUAUGCCGGUGACUGUAGGGGCCUCUGCCCUCCGAUCAUAGCUCAGGUGACAGGUCAAAGAUAGUCACGUAUCAGUUCAGAUGGAGUGGAUUCUUUUUUUUUUUUUUUUU